GCAGAAAUUGUAACAUGCCAUGCCAUUUUUUUUUACCAAUGGGUAUUUUUGGACAACGAAAUGUCACCGGGAGGCUUCCUCGUAGGAUUGGAUGCAAAUGGUCCUGAAGUGGGCAGUUGUGUGUUCCCAUUAGCUCGCGGGAGACUGCGGUUGUCAUUGAUCUUUUGAAGCGGCGGAAACGGGAGUAAACCGGGGGAGAUGAUGUGCGAGGUGAUGCCCACCAUCAGCGAGGACACGGCGCUGAGCCAGCGCGGCUCCCAGAGCAGCGCCUCGGACCCGGACUCGCACUUCGAGCAGCUGAUGGUCAACAUGCUGGACGAGCGCGACCGGCUGCU
Long non-coding RNA from Megalops cyprinoides (Indo-Pacific tarpon), 335 nucleotides. RefSeq lists it as uncharacterized. The transcript has 3 exons. The record is from RefSeq and is a predicted model, not a curated record. Lineage: Eukaryota; Metazoa; Chordata; Actinopteri; Elopiformes; Megalopidae.